RNAcentral lists this ribosomal RNA (1406 nucleotides) under Klebsiella sp. RNAcentral's name for it is "bacterial SSU rRNA". It matches the Rfam family "Bacterial small subunit ribosomal RNA". The record is from RNAcentral. Lineage: Bacteria; Pseudomonadati; Pseudomonadota; Gammaproteobacteria; Enterobacterales; Enterobacteriaceae.
AUGCAGUCGAGCGGUAGCACAGAGAGCUUGCUCUCGGGUGACGAGCGGCGGACGGGUGAGUAAUGUCUGGGAAACUGCCUGAUGGAGGGGGAUAACUACUGGAAACGGUAGCUAAUACCGCAUAACGUCGCAAGACCAAAGUGGGGGACCUUCGGGCCUCAUGCCAUCAGAUGUGCCCAGAUGGGAUUAGCUAGUAGGUGGGGUAACGGCUCACCUAGGCGACGAUCCCUAGCUGGUCUGAGAGGAUGACCAGCCACACUGGAACUGAGACACGGUCCAGACUCCUACGGGAGGCAGCAGUGGGGAAUAUUGCACAAUGGGCGCAAGCCUGAUGCAGCCAUGCCGCGUGUGUGAAGAAGGCCUUCGGGUUGUAAAGCACUUUCAGCGGGGAGGAAGGCGGUGAGGUUAAUAACCUCAUCGAUUGACGUUACCCGCAGAAGAAGCACCGGCUAACUCCGUGCCAGCAGCCGCGGUAAUACGGAGGGUGCAAGCGUUAAUCGGAAUUACUGGGCGUAAAGCGCACGCAGGCGGUCUGUCAAGUCGGAUGUGAAAUCCCCGGGCUCAACCUGGGAACUGCAUUCGAAACUGGCAGGCUAGAGUCUUGUAGAGGGGGGUAGAAUUCCAGGUGUAGCGGUGAAAUGCGUAGAGAUCUGGAGGAAUACCGGUGGCGAAGGCGGCCCCCUGGACAAAGACUGACGCUCAGGUGCGAAAGCGUGGGGAGCAAACAGGAUUAGAUACCCUGGUAGUCCACGCCGUAAACGAUGUCGAUUUGGAGGUUGUGCCCUUGAGGCGUGGCUUCCGGAGCUAACGCGUUAAAUCGACCGCCUGGGGAGUACGGCCGCAAGGUUAAAACUCAAAUGAAUUGACGGGGGCCCGCACAAGCGGUGGAGCAUGUGGUUUAAUUCGAUGCAACGCGAAGAACCUUACCUGGUCUUGACAUCCACAGAACUUUCCAGAGAUGGAUUGGUGCCUUCGGGAACUGUGAGACAGGUGCUGCAUGGCUGUCGUCAGCUCGUGUUGUGAAAUGUUGGGUUAAGUCCCGCAACGAGCGCAACCCUUAUCCUUUGUUGCCAGCGGUUAGGCCGGGAACUCAAAGGAGACUGCCAGUGAUAAACUGGAGGAAGGUGGGGAUGACGUCAAGUCAUCAUGGCCCUUACGACCAGGGCUACACACGUGCUACAAUGGCAUAUACAAAGAGAAGCGACCUCGCGAGAGCAAGCGGACCUCAUAAAGUAUGUCGUAGUCCGGAUUGGAGUCUGCAACUCGACUCCAUGAAGUCGGAAUCGCUAGUAAUCGUAGAUCAGAAUGCUACGGUGAAUACGUUCCCGGGCCUUGUACACACCGCCCGUCACACCAUGGGAGUGGGUUGCAAAAGAAGUAGGUAGCUUAACCUUCGGGAGGGCGCU